This 441-nucleotide ribosomal RNA is filed under the name uncultured bacterium. RNAcentral's name for it is "partial 16S ribosomal RNA". It matches the Rfam family "Bacterial small subunit ribosomal RNA", at positions 338 to 795 of the family's 1533-position model. The record is from RNAcentral.
CCUACGGGAGGCAGCAGUGGGGAAUAUUGCACAAUGGGCGAAAGCCUGAUGCAGCAACGCCGCGUGAAGGAAGAAGGCCUUCGGGUCGUAAACUUCUGUCCUUGGGGAAGAAGAACUGACGGUACCCAAGGAGGAAGCCCCGGCUACCACCGGGCCAGCAGCCGCGGUAAUCCGUAGGGGGCAGGCGUUGUCCGAAUUUAUUGGGUUUAAAGGGUGCGCAGGCGGAAGAUCAAGGCAGCGGUAAAAUUGAGAGGCUCAAGCUCUUCGAGCCGUUGAAACUGGUUUUCUUGAGUGAGCGAGAAGUAUGCGGAAUGCGUGGUGUAGCGGUGAAAUGCAUAGAUAUCACACAGAACUCCGAUUGCGAAGGCAGCAUACCGACGCUCAACUGACGCUCAUGCACGAAAGUGUGGGUAUCGAACAGGAUUAGAUACCCCGGUAGUC